UACGUAGGGUGCAAGCGUUGUCCGGAAUUAUUGGGCGUAAAGAGCUCGUAGGCGGUUUGUCGCGUCUGCUGUGAAAACCCGAGGCUCAACCUCGGGCCUGCAGUGGGUACGGGCAGACUAGAGUGAUGUAGGGGAGACUGGAAUUCCUGGUGUAGCGGUGAAAUGCGCAGAUAUCAGGAGGAACACCAACAGCGAAGGCAGAUCUCUGGGACGUUACUGACGCUGAGACGCGAAAGCGUGGGGAGCAAACAGG
Molecule: ribosomal RNA, 253 nt
Filed under: uncultured bacterium
Lineage: Bacteria
Description: partial 16S ribosomal RNA
Rfam family: Bacterial small subunit ribosomal RNA
Source: RNAcentral